RNAcentral lists this ribosomal RNA (529 nucleotides) under Bifidobacterium longum subsp. suillum. RNAcentral describes it as "bacterial SSU rRNA". It matches the Rfam family "Bacterial small subunit ribosomal RNA", at positions 160 to 704 of the family's 1533-position model. Lineage: Bacteria; Bacillati; Actinomycetota; Actinomycetes; Bifidobacteriales; Bifidobacteriaceae. The record is from RNAcentral.
GUGGUAAUGCCGGAUGCUCCAGUUGAUCGCAUGGUCUUCUGGGAAAGCUUUCGCGGUAUGGGAUGGGGUCGCGUCCUAUCAGCUUGACGGCGGGGUAACGGCCCACCGUGGCUUCGACGGGUAGCCGGCCUGAGAGGGCGACCGGCCACAUUGGGACUGAGAUACGGCCCAGACUCCUACGGGAGGCAGCAGUGGGGAAUAUUGCACAAUGGGCGCAAGCCUGAUGCAGCGACGCCGCGUGAGGGAUGGAGGCCUUCGGGUUGUAAACCUCUUUUAUCGGGGAGCAAGCGAGAGUGAGUUUACCCGUUGAAUAAGCACCGGCUAACUACGUGCCAGCAGCCGCGGUAAUACGUAGGGUGCAAGCGUUAUCCGGAAUUAUUGGGCGUAAAGGGCUCGUAGGCGGUUCGUCGCGUCCGGUGUGAAAGUCCAUCGCUUAACGGUGGAUCCGCGCCGGGUACGGGCGGGCUUGAGUGCGGUAGGGGAGACUGGAAUUCCCGGUGUAACGGUGGAAUGUGUAGAUAUCGGGAAA